RNAcentral lists this ribosomal RNA (1430 nucleotides) under Lacticaseibacillus casei. RNAcentral describes it as "Lactobacillus casei 16S ribosomal RNA". It matches the Rfam family "Bacterial small subunit ribosomal RNA". The record is from RNAcentral. Lineage: Bacteria; Bacillati; Bacillota; Bacilli; Lactobacillales; Lactobacillaceae.
ACGAGUGGCGGACGGGUGAGUAACACGUGGGUAACCUGCCCUUAAGUGGGGGAUAACAUUUGGAAACAGAUGCUAAUACCGCAUAGAUCCAAGAACCGCAUGGUUCUUGGCUGAAAGAUGGCGUAAGCUAUCGCUUUUGGAUGGACCCGCGGCGUAUUAGCUAGUUGGUGAGGUAAUGGCUCACCAAGGCGAUGAUACGUAGCCGAACUGAGAGGUUGAUCGGCCACAUUGGGACUGAGACACGGCCCAAACUCCUACGGGAGGCAGCAGUAGGGAAUCUUCCACAAUGGACGCAAGUCUGAUGGAGCAACGCCGCGUGAGUGAAGAAGGCUUUCGGGUCGUAAAACUCUGUUGUUGGAGAAGAAUGGUCGGCAGAGUAACUGUUGUCGGCGUGACCGGUAUCCCAACCCAGAAAGGCCACGGGCUAAACUACGUGCCAGCAGCCGCGGUAAUACGUAGGUGGCAAGCGUUAUCCGGGAUUUAUUGGGCGUAAAGCGAGCGCAGGCGGUUUUUUAAGUCUGAUGUGAAAGCCCUCGGCUUAACCGAGGAAGCGCAUCGGAAACUGGGAAACUUGAGUGCAGAAGAGGACAGUGGAACUCCAUGUGUAGCGGUGAAAUGCGUAGAUAUAUGGAAGAACACCAGUGGCGAAGGCGGCUGUCUGGUCUGUAACUGACGCUGAGGCUCGAAAGCAUGGGUAGCGAACAGGAUUAGAUACCCUGGUAGUCCAUGCCGUAAACGAUGAAUGCUAGGUGUUGGAGGGUUUCCGCCCUUCAGUGCCGCAGCUAACGCAUUAAGCAUUCCGCCUGGGGAGUACGACCGCAAGGUUGAAACUCAAAGGAAUUGACGGGGGCCCGCACAAGCGGUGGAGCAUGUGGUUUAAUUCGAAGCAACGCGAAGAACCUUACCAGGUCUUGACAUCUUUUGAUCACCUGAGAGAUCAGGUUUCCCCUUUGGGGGCCAAAUGACAGGUGGUGCAUGGGUUGUCAGUCAGCUCGUGUCGUGAAGAUGUUGGGUUAAGUCCCGCAACGAUCGCAACCCUUAUGACUAGUUGCCAGCAUUUAGUUGGGCACUCUAGUAAGACUGCCGGUGACAAACCGGAGGAAGGUGGGGAUGACGUCAAAUCAUCAUGCCCCUUAUGACCUGGGCUACACACGUGCUACAAUGGAUGGUACAACGAGUUGCGAGACCGCGAGGUCAAGCUAAUCUCUUAAAGCCAUUCUCAGUUCGGACUGUAGGCUGCAACUCGCCUACACGAAGUCGGAAUCGCUAGUAAUCGCGGAUCAGCACGCCGCGGUGAAUACGUUCCCGGGCCUUGUACACACCGCCCGUCACACCAUGAGAGUUUGUAACACCCGAAGCCGGUGGCGUAACCCUUUUAGGGAGCGAGCCGUCUAAGGUGGGACAAAUGAUUAGGGUGAAGUCGUAACAAG